ACUUAGUCUUUUCUGCCUUUUCUACCCCACCAGUGAGGAGGCUGGGAAUGCACAAGAAGCUGGGAGGAGCACAGCCACGACAGCUGACCUCAGGAGACCACAGGGAUAUCCCAGACCAUACGGAGUCAUGCUCAGUACAUAAAGCUGGGAGAAGAAGAAGGAAGGAGGGGAGGUUCAGAGUGAUGCUGUUUGUCUUCCCCUGUCCACUGCUCCAUGUGAUGGAGCCCUGCUUUCCUGGAGAUGGCUGAAUACCUGCCUGCCCAUGGAAUGUGAGACAUCCUCCAUUGAUGUGAUCCAGCUGUGCAGCCUCCCGAGCUCCAGCAAAAGCACAGAGCCUGCACAAGCAGCAUGAAUAUGGUAUGAACUGAAGUAACCACUGAAGAAUAAGCCCAGCUAGCAAGCAAAUCAAGAACAAUAUGGGAGGAAUAACUGUGUCUAGCAAGCCUGUCCCAAAGAAUACUGAAAGAAAAAUAUCCUUACUGGCUUUCCUUGAUGACUGCCUCCUGAGGAAGAGGAACCCUGGAAAAAAAUACCUGGUUUUGACUCUUAAGUCUAUUUGUGCUUAAAUAUUCUUGCUAUCUGGAAUAAAAGACCACAGAAGAAUGAA
Long non-coding RNA from Corvus hawaiiensis (hawaiian crow), 607 nucleotides. RefSeq lists it as uncharacterized. NCBI's taxonomy places the organism in Eukaryota, Metazoa, Chordata, Aves, Passeriformes, Corvidae. The record is from RefSeq and is a predicted model, not a curated record. The transcript is spliced from 3 exons.